Long non-coding RNA from Oncorhynchus mykiss (rainbow trout), 1832 nucleotides. The record is from Ensembl. Lineage: Eukaryota; Metazoa; Chordata; Actinopteri; Salmoniformes; Salmonidae.
AUGUGUAGAUGGACAAUUCCAGUGCAGGACAUGUGUAGAGGGAUAAUUCCAGUGCAGUACAUGUGUAAGGGGAUAAUUCCAGUGCAGUACAUGUUUGGAGGGAUAAUUCCAGUACAGGACAUGUGUAGAGGGAUAAUUCCAGUACAGUACAUGUGUAGAGGGUGUAGAGGGAUAAUUCCAGUGCAGUACAUGUGUAGAGGGAUAAUUCCAGUGCAGUACAUGUGUAAAGGCUGUGGAGGGAAAAUUCCAGUGCAGUACAUGUGUAAAGGGUGUAGAGGUAUAAUUCCAGUACAGUACAUGUGUAAGGGGAUAAUUACAGUACAUGUGUAGAGGGAUAAUUCCAGUGCAGUACAGUGCAUUUGUAGAGGGAUAAUUCCAGUACAGUACAUGUGUAGAUGGACAAUUCCAGUGCAGGACAUGUGUAGAGGGAUAAUUCCAGUGCAGUACAUGUGUAAGGGGAUAAUUCCAGUGCAGUACAUGUUUGGAGGGAUAAUUCCAGUACAGGACAUGUGUAGAGGGAUAAUUCCAGUACAGUACAUGUGUAGAGGGAUAAUUCCAGUGCAGUACAUGUUUGGAGGGAUAAUUCCAGUGCAGUACAUGUGCAGAGGGAUAAUUCAUAAUUCUCUCGGAUUCUAACAUGCAAGCUUCUGCAUGUCAUCUAUAGCCGACACCUUUCACAGAACAGUUCACAGAAUUGUCCAUUGAAAUACAUUUUCACAAUUUAAUCAUUGCUACCUUAAGGCCUGAUUGGUGGAGUGCUGCAGAGAUGGUUGUCCUUCUGGAAGGUUCUCCCAUCUCCACAGAGGAACUCUGGAGCUCUGUCAGAGUGAACAUCGGUGUCACAAUUCAUGUGUAUAGGUGGCAGGGAAGUCAGGCACAGGAGAAUUCAACUUGGUAAAAUGGAGUAAUUUAAUAAAACAAAACAUAACUCCAAAACCAUAAAUACAAAAUGAAACAAAUUGUGUAUGAGGACUCGUCGCGCACCAAAUACAAACAACACGACACUGAACAUAAAACAAUCUCUGACAAAGACAUGAUGGGAAGCCUAGUGGCAGGGUAGCCUAGUGGUUAGAGCGUUGGACUAGUAACCGGAAGGUUGCAAGUUCAAACCCCCGAGCUGACAAGGUACAAAUCUGUCGUUCUGCCCCUGAACAGGCAGUUAACCCACUGUUCCUAGGCCGUCAUUGAAAAUAAGAAUUUGUUCUUAACUGACUUGCCUUUUCGCAGUGCCUUGCGAAAGUAUUCGGCCCCCUUAAACUUUGCGACCUUUUGCCACAUUUCAGGCUUCAAACAUAAAGAUAUAAAACUGUAUUUUUUUGUGAAGAAUCAACAACAAGUGGGACACAAUCAUGAAGUAGAACGACAUUUAUUGGAUAUUUCAAACUUUUUUAACAAAUCAAAAACUGAAAAAUUGGGCGUGCAAAAUUAUUCAGCCCCCUUUACUUUCAGUGCAGCAAACUCUCUCCAGAAGUUCAGUGAGGAUCUCUGAAUGAUCCAAUGUUGACCAAAAUGACUAAUGAUGAUAAAUACAAUGCACCUGUGUGUAAUCAAGUCUCCGAAUAAAUGCACCUGCACUGUGAUAGUCUCAGAGGUCCGUUAAAAGCUCAGAGAGCAUCAUGAAGAACAAGGAACACACCAGGCAGGUCCGAGAUACUGUUGUGAAGACGUUUAAAGCCGGAUUUGGAUAAAAAAUAUUUUCCAAGCUUUAAACAUCCCAAGGAGCACUGUGCAAGCGAUAAUAUUGAAAUGGAAGGAGUAUCAGACCACUGCAAAUCUACCAAGACCUGGCCGUCCCUCUAAACUUUCAGCUCAUACAAGGAGAAGACUGAUCA